Molecule: long non-coding RNA, 199 nt
Filed under: Nicotiana benthamiana
Lineage: Eukaryota; Viridiplantae; Streptophyta; Magnoliopsida; Solanales; Solanaceae
Description: long non-coding RNA (NBEN_LNC021142)
Source: RNAcentral
UUGUAAAUAGCAUGAUUUUAGUAGGUUAACAACAUGUUUUUUAUGUUUAAGAUUCAUGUUGAAAAUCAUGUGUUAUUCAGAAAAAAAAAAUUUGGUCACUGCCUUCAGACAAUCGAUUGUUGCCUUACACAAUCGAUUGUCUAUGACUUUUAGUAUUCUGGCAGUUUUUUUGGAACACCUGACAAUCGAUUGUCAGGUU